Molecule: unclassified non-coding RNA, 206 nt
Filed under: uncultured fungus
Lineage: Eukaryota; Fungi
Description: sequence contains ITS1
Source: RNAcentral
UUAACUUAUUUGCUUUCCACUCAGAGAUACCGCUAUAAUACGUGAGAGUUUGUGAUCUCCGGCGGGCGCCCCGAGCCCCGGGGGGCGCGGGACCGCGGCACCCCGAGGAGUGCCGCACCGCCGAAGCAACUUGGAUAGGUUCGCAAUGGUUUGAAGUUGCCUUUCGGCUUCUUGUAAUGAUCCCUCCGCUGGUUCACCAACGGAGA